Acanthosepion pharaonis is the source of this 100-nucleotide non-coding RNA. The record is from the annotation of a GenBank genome assembly. Lineage: Eukaryota; Metazoa; Mollusca; Cephalopoda; Sepiida; Sepiidae.
CGUUGACACACCAGUUCUCGUACGAUUACUGAAGUUAAGCAACGUCGACCCUGGUCAGUACCUAGAUGGGUGACCGCCUAGGAAUAGCAGGUGUUGUAAG